GGCCAGGCUGAAGACUUUUGCCGGAUUUAGCUGAGAGGUGGUGCAUGGCCGUCGUCAGUUCGUACUGUGAAGCAUCCUGUUAAGUCAGGCAACGAGCGAGACCCACGCCCACAGUUUGCCAGCGUACUCUCUGGAGUGACGGGUACACUGUGGGGACCGCCGCUGCUAAAGCGGAGGAAGGAAUGGGCAACGGUAGGUCAGUAUGCCCCGAAUAUCCCGGGCUACACGCGAGCUACAAUGGUUGGUACAAUGGGUAUCUACCCCGAAAGGGGACGGGAAUCUCCUAAAACCAAUCUUAGUUCGGAUUGAGGGCUGCAACUCGCCCUCAUGAAGGCGGAAUCCGUAGUAAUCGCGUCUCAAGAUGGCGCGGUGAAUAUGUCCCUGCUCCUU
RNAcentral lists this ribosomal RNA (390 nucleotides) under uncultured Methanosaeta sp. Its description in RNAcentral is "bacterial SSU rRNA". It matches the Rfam family "Archaeal small subunit ribosomal RNA", at positions 952 to 1338 of the family's 1478-position model. Lineage: Archaea; Methanobacteriati; Methanobacteriota; Methanomicrobia; Methanotrichales; Methanotrichaceae. The record is from RNAcentral.